Molecule: ribosomal RNA, 468 nt
Filed under: uncultured bacterium
Lineage: Bacteria
Description: partial 16S ribosomal RNA
Rfam family: Bacterial small subunit ribosomal RNA
Source: RNAcentral
GACGAACGCUGGCGGCGGGCUUAACACAUGCAAGUCGAACGGAAAGGCCCUGCUUUUGUGGGGUGCUCGAGUGGCGAACGGGUGAGUAACACGUGAGUAACCUGCCCUUUACUUUGGGAUAACUUCAGGAAAAUGGGGCUAAUACCGGAUAGGAGCUCCUGCUGCAUGGUGGGGGUUGGAAAGUUUCGGCGGUUGGGGAUGGACUCGCGGCUUAUCAGCUUGUUGGUGGGGUAGUGGCUUACCAAGGCUUUGACGGGUAGCCGGCCUGAGAGGGUGACCGGCCACAUUGGGACUGAGAUACGGCCCAGACUCCUACGGGAGGCAGCAGUGGGGAAUAUUGCACAAUGGGCGGAAGCCUGAUGCAGCAACGCCGCGUGCGGGAUGACGGCCUUCGGGUUGUAAACCGCUUUCGCCUGUGACGAAGCGUGAGUGACGGUAAUGGGUAAAGAAGCACCGGCUAACUACGUG